Molecule: ribosomal RNA, 114 nt
Filed under: Yersinia kristensenii
Lineage: Bacteria; Pseudomonadati; Pseudomonadota; Gammaproteobacteria; Enterobacterales; Yersiniaceae
Source: RNAcentral
UGGCGGCAAUAGCGCGGUGGUCCCACCUGACCCCAUGCCGAACUCAGAAGUGAAACGCCGUGCGCCGAUGGUAGUGUGGGGUCUCCCCAUGCGAGAGUAGGACACUGCCAGGUA